RNAcentral lists this transfer RNA (76 nucleotides) under Campylobacteraceae bacterium 4484_166. Its description in RNAcentral is "tRNA-Ala". It matches the Rfam family "tRNA". From Rfam's summary of the family: Transfer RNA (tRNA) molecules are approximately 80 nucleotides in length. Their secondary structure includes four short double-helical elements and three loops (D, anti-codon, and T loops). The record is from RNAcentral. Lineage: Bacteria; Pseudomonadati; Campylobacterota; Epsilonproteobacteria; Campylobacterales; Campylobacteraceae. RNAcentral also lists the same sequence under 1 other name.
GGGGUCUUAGCUCAGUUGGGAGAGCAUUUCGCUGGCAGCGAAAAGGUCAUCGGUUCGAACCCGAUAGGCUCCACCA